UACGGAGGAUGCGAGCGUUAUCCGGAUUUAUUGGGUUUAAAGGGUGCGCAGGCGGAUUUUUAAGUCAGCGGUCAAAUCGUGGGGCUCAACCCCAUCCAGCCGUUGAAACUGGGGAUCUAGAGUGUGCGAGAGGUAUGCGGAAUGCGUGGUGUAGCGGUGAAAUGCACAGAUAUCACGCAGAACCCCGAUUGCGAAGGCAGCAUACCGGUGCACAACUGACGCUCAGGCACGAAAGCGUGGGUAUCGAACAGG
This 252-nucleotide ribosomal RNA is filed under the name uncultured bacterium. Its description in RNAcentral is "partial 16S ribosomal RNA". It matches the Rfam family "Bacterial small subunit ribosomal RNA", at positions 524 to 776 of the family's 1533-position model. The record is from RNAcentral.